This 253-nucleotide ribosomal RNA is filed under the name uncultured bacterium. Its description in RNAcentral is "partial 16S ribosomal RNA". It matches the Rfam family "Bacterial small subunit ribosomal RNA", at positions 524 to 776 of the family's 1533-position model. The record is from RNAcentral.
UACGUAGGGGGCAAGCGUUAUCCGGAAUUACUGGGUGUAAAGGGUGAGUAGGCGGCAUGGUAAGCCAGAUGUGAAAGCCUUGGGCUUAACCCGAGGAUUACAUUUGGAACUAUCAAGCUAGAGUACAGGAGAGGAAAGCGGAAUUCCUAGUGUAGCGGUGAAAUGCGUAGAUAUUAGGAAGAACACCAGUGGCGAAGGCGGCUUUCUGGACUGAAACUGACGCUGAGGCACGAAAGCGUGGGGAGCGAACAGG